This 274-nucleotide ribosomal RNA is filed under the name uncultured bacterium. Its description in RNAcentral is "partial 16S ribosomal RNA". It matches the Rfam family "Bacterial small subunit ribosomal RNA", at positions 523 to 796 of the family's 1533-position model. The record is from RNAcentral.
AUACGGAGGGUGCAAGCGUUAUUCGGAAUCACUGGGCGUAAAGGACGCGUAGGCGGGUUGGCAAGUCAGAUGUGAAAUCCUACAGCUUAACUGUAGAACUGCAUUUGAAACUGCUAGCCUAGAGUAUGGGAGGGGGAGAUGGAAUUAGUGGUGUAGGGGUAAAAUCCGUAGAUAUCACUAGGAAUACCGAAAGCGAAGGCGAUCUCCUGGAACAUAACUGACGCUAAGGCGUGAAAGCGUGGGGAGCAAACAGGAUUAGAAACCCUAGUAGUCC